AUUUGUGAUUGGGAGGGAGGGAGAGAGAGAGAAAGUGAUUGGGAGGGAGGGAGAGAGAGAGAAAGUGUGAUUCGGAGGAAGAGGGAGAAGAGAGAGAGAGAGAGAGAGAGAGAGAGAGAGAGAGAGAGAGAGAAAGUGUGAUUUGGAGGGAGAGAGAGAGAGACAGAGAGAGAGACAGAGAGAGAGAGAAAGUGAUUUGGAGGAAGAGAGAGAGAGAGGGAGAAAGUGAGAAGCAUACUCAGCAAGAGUGAGGAAUCAGAAACAGGUUGUUGUUCCAGCAGAACACUGCUUUGUCCCUGCUUCAAAAGAGCGAGUGGAACAUCCAGGACUGGAGCUAGUGAGAGCAUAGUUUUACAAAUAUCAUCUGGUCUCUGUCUCAGCUAGGAAGGGAGGCACAGACAGAGAAAGAAGAAGAAGAGAGAGAGAGAGUAGCCUGGCCCCUUAGAGAUAGACACAACAGUAAUUAAUCAUCAACACACACACACACACACACACACACUCACACACAGGAGUAUGAUGGCACUGCAGUAAGCAGCUUGAUAGAGUAGAAUCUAGAAUAGAAAUUUGAAUGAAAUUGAAUAGAAUAGAAUAUGAUAUUUUUUAAUGUAUUUUACAAAGCCCUCUUUACAUCAGCAGUUGUCUGUUACCCAACCUAGAAUGUAAACCAAUGUCAUGUAGAUUAGACUGCUCUCCCCUAUACACUGUCCCCUGUUAUGUUGUGUUGUCCUCCCACUACAUGGCCACAGGGGAGUCUCAGACCCAGUCUCAGUCUCAGUCUCAGCUGCUAGUACUGAACAGCAACAGGAUGUGGAAGGUGGGUGGCUGCUGUCGCUACAACAAGGACCGGGUAGGAGGUAGGAGACAGAGUAGAAAGAAAGGGAUACAACAGGGACCUGGUAGGAGGUAGGAGACAGAGUAGAAAGAGAGGGAUACAACAGGGACCAGGUAGGAGGUAGGAGACAUUAAAAAAAAUGUGAGAAAAGAGGAAAAGAAGAGAGAGACUGGAAGAGAGGAGGGGAGUAUGAAGAGAAUGGAAGAGAGGAGGGGAGUAAUGAAGAGACUGGAAGAGAGGAGGGGAGUAUGAAGAGAAUGGAAGAGAGGAGGGGAGUAAUGAAGAGAAUGGAAGAGAGGAGGAGAGUAUGAAGAGACUGGAAGAGAGGAGGAGAGUAUGAAGAGAAUGGAAGAGAGGAGGGGAUAAUGAAGAGAAUGGAAGAGAGGAGGGGAGUAUGAAGAGACUGGAAGAGAGGAGGGGAGUAUGAAGAGACUGGAAGAGAGGAGGAGAAGGAGAGAGAGGAAGAGAGGAGGGGAGUAUGAAGAGGCUGGAAGAGAGGAGGGGAGUAUGAAGAGAAUGGAAGAGAGGAGGGGAGUAUGAAGAGAAUGGAAGAGAGGAGGGGAGUAUGAAGAGACUGGAAGAGAGGAGGGGAGUAUGAAGAGAAUGGAAGAGAGGAGGGGAGUAAUGAAGAGACUGGAAGAGAGGAGGGGAGUAUGAAGAGAAUGGAAGAGAGGAGGGGAGUAUGAAGAGACUGGAAGAGAGGAGGGGAGUAUGAAGAGAAUGGAAGAGAGGAGGGGAGUAAUGAAGAGAAUGGAAGAGAGGAGGGGAGUAAUGAAGAGAAUGGAAGAGAGGAGGGAAGAUAUGAAGAGACUGGAAGAGAGGAGGAGAGUAUGAAGAGACUGGAAGAGAGGAGGGCAGAGUAUGAAGAGACUGGAAGAGAGGAGGGGAGUAUGAAGAGGCUGGAAGAGAGGAGGGGAGUAUGAAGAGACUGGAAGAGAGGAGGGGAGUAUGAGGAGGCUGGAAGAGAGGAGGGGAGUAUGAAGAGGCUGGAAGAGAGGAGGGGAGUAUGAAGAGGCUGGAAGAGAGGAGGGGAGUAUGAAGAGGCUGGAAGAGAGGAGGGGAGUAUGAAGAGACUGGAAGAGAGGAGGGGAGUAUGAAGAGACUGGAAGAGAGGAGGAGAAGGAGAGAGAGGAAGAGAGGAGGAGAGUAUGGAGAGACUGGAAGAGAGGAGGGGAGUAUGAAGAGACUGGAAGAGAGGAGGGGAGUAUGAAGAGGCUGGAAGAGAGGAGGGGAGUAUGAAGAGGGAGACUGGAAGAGAGGAGGGGAGUAUGAAGAGGGAGACUGGAAGAGAGGAGGAGAAGGAGAGCGAGGAAGAGAGGAGGAGAAGGAGAGAGAGGAAGAGAGCAGGAGAAGGAGAGAGAGGAAGAGAGGAGAAGGAGAGAGAGGUGGAAGAGAGGAGAAGGAGAGAGAGGUAGAGAGGAGGAGAAGGAGAGAGGAGGGGAGUAUGAAGAGACUGGAAGAAAGGAGGAGAAGGAGAGAGAUGAAGAGAGGAGGAGAAGGAGAGAGAGGAAGAGAGGAGGAGAAGGAGAGAGAGGAAGAGAGGAGAAGGAAAGAGAGGAAGAGAGGAGGAGAAGGAGAGAGAGGAAGAGAGGAGGAGAAGGAGAGAGAGGAAGAGAGGAGGAGAAGGAGAGAGGAAGAGAGGAGGGGAAUAUGAAGAUACUGGAAGAGAGGAGAAGGAAAGAGAGGAAGAGAGGAGGAGAAGGAGAGAGAGGAAGAGAGGAGGGGAGUAUGGAGAGACUGGAAGAGAGGAGGAGAAAGAGAGAGAGGAAGAGAGGAGGAGAAGGAGAGAGGAAGAGAGGAGGGGAAUAUGAAGAUACUGGAAGAGAGGAGAAGGAAAGAGA
Long non-coding RNA from Oncorhynchus tshawytscha (Chinook salmon), 2673 nucleotides. The record is from Ensembl. NCBI's taxonomy places the organism in Eukaryota, Metazoa, Chordata, Actinopteri, Salmoniformes, Salmonidae.